RNA transcript from Solanum dulcamara, 4201 nucleotides. It is a transcript of the gene named DExH-box ATP-dependent RNA helicase DExH6-like, with no coding region annotated. The transcript has 16 exons. NCBI's taxonomy places the organism in Eukaryota, Viridiplantae, Streptophyta, Magnoliopsida, Solanales, Solanaceae. The record is from RefSeq and is a predicted model, not a curated record.
CUUUUCUUUUGAUACUGAGUAAUUUUUAUGGGAUUUUCCUCUUUUUAAGUGGUAUAUAAAUGGUUUCACGAGAAGAGCAGAAGGGCAAAGAGGAAACUUAAGCAGCGCCGCGAAGAGGAAGAUAAAUAGAAUACCAAGGGACAUUGCAGAAUAUCCCUUUUUCUACUUUUUGAUUAUAGGAAAAAAACCAAGAUUGAGUGAAAUGGCUUCAACAGCUCCAUCAUCAUCAUCUGGGUUUGGGAAGAAGAGGCAGAAGAAAGGCCAAAAACAACAUGAGGUUACCAAUGUUGCAGAAUCUACUCGGAUUCGGGUUGCCCAAGUUCUUGAACAGUUCCGUGCUUCUAAUGAUGAAGUGUACACAUUUGAAUCAAACCUUUCAAAUCGCGAUAGAGCUGCAGUUCACAUGUUAUGCCGGAAAAUGGGAAUGAAAUCAAAAAGUUCUGGGCGUGGGGAUCAACGUCAUAUAUCUGUUUUCAAGAUUAAACAGAAUAUGGGCACACUGAAAGGAAAGGAUGUGCUAAGUUGUUUUAAAUUUUCGGAGGAGGCAAAAUAUGCUCUACAUGAUUUAUUUACGCGAUAUCCACCUGAUGAUGGGGAGACAAGUGAACAAGUAGUUGGGAAACACAGUAAGAAAUUUGAUAAAUUACAAGGAAAGAAGGAUGAUAUGUUCUGUAAACCUGUGAUGAGCAUGUCUGAAAUUGCAAAAAGGGUGGAGUCAUUUGCGUCAAGAAUAGAGAAAACCCCAAACCUGAGACAGAUCACAUUACAAAGGUCUAAGCUUCCAAUUGCUUCCUUCAAGGAUGCGAUUACAUCAACUAUAGAAUCUAAUCAGGUGGUCUUGAUCUCUGGUGAAACUGGAUGCGGUAAAACUACACAGGUCCCCCAAUUUAUUUUAGAUCAUAUGUGGGGUAAAGGCGAAACAUGUAAAAUUGUAUGUACUCAGCCACGACGAAUUUCUGCCACAUCAGUUUCUGAGAGAAUUUCUGCUGAAAGAGGCGAAAGUGUUGGGGAUACGGUUGGUUACAAGAUACGGCUGGAAAGCAGAGGUGGGAGGCAGUCAUCAAUCAUGUUUUGUACCAAUGGGAUUCUACUGAGGGUCCUGGUUACCAACAGAAGUGCCAGCUUCAACAAGGAGGCUACCGGGAAAAUGGGCAAGGAUACCAUUUCUGAUAUAACCCACAUCAUUGUGGACGAAAUUCAUGAGAGGGAUCGCUACUCCGAUUUCAUGCUCGCUAUUCUCAGGGACUUGCUUCCUUCUUAUCCAAAUUUACGUUUGGUUCUGAUGAGUGCUACACUGGAUGCUGAACGUUUUUCAAAAUACUUCGGUGGCUGCCCAGUUAUCCGAGUCCCUGGAUUUACUUAUCCUGUAAAAACAUUCUAUCUUGAGGAUGUACUUUCUAUUGUUAAGUCAACUGAAAAUAAUCACCUUGACUCCACCUCAACCAGUGUCAUGUCUGAGGAAUCAAUAUUAACAGAGGAGUACAAAGUUGCCUUAGAUGAAGCAAUUAAUCUGGCUUUUUCAGAUGAUGAUCUGGAUCCCCUUUUAGAUCUAAUAUCUUCUGAUGGGGGACCAAAAGUCUUCAAUUAUCAGCAUUCUUUGAGUGGAGUGACACCAUUGAUGGUGUUUGCUGGAAAAGGCUGCAUAGGUGACAUUUGCAUGCUCCUCUCUUUUGGUGCUGAUUGCCAUUUACGUGCUAAUGAUGGGAAAACUGCUCUAGAUUGGGCUGAGCAGGAGAAUCAGACAGAAGCUGCUGAAAUAAUUAAGAAACACGUGGAGAAAUCAUCUUCCAGCUGUGAGGAGCAGCAACAUUUACUUGACAAAUACCUAUCAACAGUUGACCCUGAACUGAUUGAUGAUGUCCUUAUUGAACAAUUAUUAAGAAAAAUAUGCAUAGACUCGGAGGACGGGGCCAUCCUUGUUUUCCUUCCUGGUUGGGAGGACAUUAACAGAACAAGAGAGAGAUUGAAAGCAAGCCACUUUUUCAAUGAUCAGUCUAAGUUUUCAGUAAUCCCUCUCCAUUCUAUGGUUCCAUCUGUCGAGCAAAAGAAGGUUUUUAGACGCCCUCCUCCAGGCUGCCGCAAAAUCGUUCUUUCAACUAAUAUUGCUGAAACUGCCAUUACCAUUGAUGAUGUUGUUUAUGUAAUAGACAGUGGACGAAUGAAAGAAAAAAGUUAUGAUCCUUAUAAUAAUGUAUCAACUCUUCAAUCUUCAUGGGUCUCAAAAGCAAGUGCAAAGCAAAGAGAAGGGCGUGCUGGGCGGUGCCAGCCAGGGAUUUGUUAUCAUCUUUAUUCAAAACUUCGAGCAGCUUCAUUGCCUGAUUUCCAGGUUCCUGAGAUUAAGAGGAUUCCUAUUGAGGAACUAUGUCUGCAGGUCAAGCUGCUUAACCCUGAUUGCAAGAUAGAAGAAUUCCUGCAGAAGACACUUGACCCUCCUGUUUACGAGACCAUACGUAAUGCAAUCAUUGUUCUUCAAGAUAUUGGGGCGUUAUCAUUUGAUGAGAAACUUACAGAGCUUGGAGAAAGGCUAGGAUCUUUACCAGUUCAUCCACUUACAAGCAAAAUGCUUUUAAUUGCCAUCUUAUUGAACUGCCUUGACCCAGCAUUGACUUUGGCUUGCGCUUCUGACUAUAGAGAUCCAUUUACCCUACCCAUGUUGCCAAAUGAGAAGAAGAGAGCUGCAGCUGCAAAAGCCGAGUUAGCCUCAUGGUAUGGUGGAAGAAGUGAUCAAUUAGCAGUUGUGGCUGCGUUUGAGGGCUGGAAAAGUGCGAAAGAAAUUGGUCAAGAAUCGAGGUUUUGUUCUAUGUACUUUGUAUCAUCAAGCACUAUGCAUAUGCUAUCAGGAAUGCGUAAACAACUUCAAUCUGAACUUUUGAGGAAUGGGUUUAUUCCAGGAGAUGGAUCUUCCUGUAACCUUAACACACAGGAUCCAGGCAUACUACAUGCUAUUCUUCUUGCUGGUUUGUACCCUAUGGUUGGAAGACUGCUCCCGCCACUGAAAGGUGGUAAGAGGGCUGUCAUAGAGACUGCAGGUGGUGAUAAAGUUCGAUUAAGCCCUCAUUCUACUAACUUCAAGCUUUCAUUCCAAAAAUUCUAUGAUCAACCAUUAAUUGUAUAUGAUGAGAUAACUCGUGGUGAUGGAGGUCUGCAUAUUAAGAAUUGUAGUGUCAUUGGGCCACUCCCACUGUUGUUGCUGGCAACAGAGAUUGUAGUGGCUCCUGGAAAUGAAGAUGAUGAUGAUGGCAAUGAUGAUGAUGAAAGUGAUUACGAAGAUGGUGAUGAGGACAAUGGCGAGGAAGAUAAUAUUAAAGCAGAUCUGUCAGAAGCCCAUCAAGGAGAGAAAAUUAUGUCUUCUCCUGAUAAUAUAGUUAAGGUCGUUGUUGAUAGAUGGAUUCCUUUUGAGUCAACAGCUCUUGAUGUUGCUCAAAUUUACUGCCUGAGAGAGAGAUUAACUGCAGCAAUUUUAUUCAAGGUCACACAUCCUGGGAAAGUUCUUCCUGAGGUUCUUGCAGCCUCUAUAAAUGCAAUGGCUUGCAUCUUGUCGUACAAUGGGAUGUCAGGAAUCUCAUUGCCGCUGGAGCCUGUGGACUCGCUUACUACAAUGGUUAGUGCUACUGAGAUUGGUCAGUCUGAUCCUGGGUGGAAUAACAGACUGGAUAUGAAUCCCAACAUUUCUCCCAAUUCAUUUGGGUACAAUGCCCGGCAUCAGCACCGCAAUAUGCAUCAUCAAAGAGGCAGCAUUCAUAUAUCAAAGGGAUCAUUUGCGCAUGGAGGAACCAUGCAAAGAGGUCAUUCUAAGCGGAAGCGUGGAAAUGGACCUUAUUAAAGCAAAGUUUAAACAGAUUUAUCCACGCAUUAACAGAGGUUUUUCUCACAGAAGCAACAGCAAGAAUCUUCCCUUUUUUGUUACUCCAAGAAGAGAGGCAAACAUGGUGGCGGACUUUCUAGCACACUAUGGAAAAACUUGAGGUUUACAUGAAAUAGUUGGACCAAAAUAUUGUUUUUCUUGGAACUAUAUAGCUUUACAUGCUUUAUUUGAAUUUUGUGAUGAUUACGUGAUUACAGUACAGAACAUUUCAGCUGUAUAUGUUGUGUAUAGGUAUGUAUAUAUAUUAUAUGUGUAGCGUAUGUAUAUUCUAUGUAUAUUUCAUAUAAUACAUAUACUAUAUAUACACUGUACAUAUUUUGUAAACUAGAUUGUGAA